Molecule: RNA transcript, 2848 nt
Organism: Acinonyx jubatus (cheetah)
Lineage: Eukaryota; Metazoa; Chordata; Mammalia; Carnivora; Felidae
Gene name: vitamin D 25-hydroxylase
Exons: 6
Source: RefSeq, a predicted model, not a curated record
UGCACUGUAGACUCUGAGCGGUACAGGGCUGGGAGUAAAUGUCGGGAGCGGCCAGAGGACUCUACGCUCAGCCAGCCAAUGGCCAGGGAACGGGGGCGGGACCUCGGGAUGUCCGGCCAAUAGGAGCACGGAGGGGCAGAAGGGCGACCCCACUCCACGGCGGUGGGGGUUCGUAGCCCCAGCCCCCGGCCUGUGCAAUGUGGGGUCCUCCGGGUGCCGAGGCGUGCGUGGCGGCGCUCGGAGGCGUGCUCUUUUUGCUGUUCUUCGCGUUUGGGAUCCGCCAGCUGCUGAAGCAGAGGCGGCCCACUGGCUUCCCUCCCGGGCCGUCGGGGCUGCCAUUUAUCGGCAACAUCUACUCGCUGGCCGCCUCAGGCGAGCUGCCCCACGUCUACAUGAGAAAGCAGAGCCAGGUGUACGGCGAGAUCUUCAGUUUAGAUCUUGGAGGAAUAUCAACUGUGGUUUUAAAUGGCUAUGAUGUAGUAAAAGAAUGCCUUGUUCAUCAAAGUGAGAUUUUUGCAGACAGACCAUGCCUUCCUUUAUUCAUGAAGAUGACAAAAAUGGGAGGCUUACUUAAUUCCAGAUAUGGUCGAGGAUGGAUUGAUCACAGAAGAUUAGCUGUAAAUAGCUUUCGCUAUUUUGGAUAUGGUCAAAAGUCUUUUGAAUCUAAAAUCUUAGAAGAAACCAAAUUUUUUAUUGAUGUUAUUGAAACAUACAAAGGUAGACCUUUUGACUUGAAACAAUUAAUAACAAAUGCUGUUUCAAACAUAACCAAUCUGAUCAUUUUUGGAGAACGAUUCACUUAUGAAGACACUGAUUUUCAGCACAUGAUUGAGUUAUUCAGUGAAAAUGUGGAACUGGCUGCCAGUGCCUCCGUCUUCCUGUAUAAUGCCUUUCCAUGGAUUGGCAUCUUACCUUUUGGAAAACAUCAACAGCUAUUUAGAAAUGCAGCUGUGGUCUAUGAUUUUCUCUCCAGGCUUGUUGAAAAAGCUUCCAUCAACAGAAAGCCUCAGUUACCUCAGCAUUUCGUUGAUGCUUAUUUGGAUGAGAUGGAUCAAGGUAAAAAUGACCCAUCAUCUACUUUCUCCAGAGAAAAUCUUAUUUUUUCCGUGGGUGAACUCAUCAUUGCUGGAACCGAAACUACAACCAAUGUGCUACGGUGGGCAAUUCUUUUCAUGGCCCUUUAUCCUAACAUUCAAGGACAAGUUCAGAAAGAGAUCGAUUUAAUUAUGGGACCCACUGGGAAGCCUUCUUGGGAUGACAAAUGCAAAAUGCCUUAUACCGAGGCAGUUUUGCAUGAAGUUUUAAGAUUCUGUAAUAUAGUGCCAUUAGGGAUUUUCCACGCAACCUCUGAAGAUGCAGUCGUACGCGGUUAUUCCAUUCCUAAAGGCACGACAGUAAUUACCAAUCUUUAUUCUGUACACUUUGAUGAAAAGUACUGGAGAAACCCAGAAAUAUUCUAUCCUGAGCGUUUUCUGGACAGCAGUGGCUAUUUUGCCAAGAAAGAAGCUUUGGUUCCUUUUUCCUUGGGGAGAAGACACUGUCUUGGAGAACAGCUGGCUCGGAUGGAAAUGUUCCUGUUUUUUACAACAUUGCUUCAGAGGUUUCACCUGCAUUUUCCACAUGAACUGGUUCCAGAUCUGAAGCCCAGAUUAGGCAUGACAUUGCAACCCCAGCCCUACCUCAUCUGUGCAGAAAGGCGCUGAAAGUGCGUGGAUGUUUUCUGGGAAAAGGCUAUCUGGUUGCCUUUUACCUCUGAACCUUGUUUAUCUAAUCAGUGUGCGCGUUUGGACAAAAAUCACAGCAUCAUAAAGCCAAAUGAACACAGGAGGGAAAAAGUCCUGGGUAGAUACACUUCAAUGGGACAUUUGGAGGUAGUAUGGCAGUUUUAGGGUGAGUAUGUCCUACAUGCUCCAUACUACAAAGAUCUGCUUGCUCACAUCCCUCGAUUUGGCUUCCCAGAUGGCAUCAGCUUUAUCUUAAGGCAGACUCGUGGAAGUACAUGUGCUUUAUUCUCCUCCUUGUAGAGACAUGGGAGCUUUUCAGAUAUUCCCCCAGAACUGUUCUUUGUGUCCCAUUGGUCCUAACUAAGUUACAUGCCCAUCUUUUAAAACUCUGUCUUUUGAGUGGGAUUAUGGUUCACUUAGGCCUGACUUCUAGAGCCCGUGAUGGAGUUGGCUUCUCCCAAAGUACAUGUGCUACCCUGGGGAAGUAUAGUUACCUAAACAGAAAUAAGGAGAGUUAUGAAGAGAAGAGGAACUCCUGACUAGCAGACCAAUUACAAUGUCCACUUCACUGCCCCCUGACCACUUGCUAGGCCCAGCAGCUAUCCUACCUGCCUCCCUGCCUCUAGACAAAUGUGUUCAUUCAAGUUGCUUUUUGAUCUUUCUCUUCCUUUGAUGAGCAAAUCUCUCAUCCCUGGGCCUCGUGCUUACUGUCAUAUCUCCUCUGAAUGCCUGAGGUGAACUUCUGAGACUGGAGAUUCUGGAGGGUUGGUGGUCUUAGCAAAGAAAUUUACUGAACUGGAAUAGAUUGUAAUCAAAAUUAAGGAGGAUUCUUUUGCUCCUGAAUGCUACCACUAUUUCUUUUAGGAUGACCUUCAUAAACCUACAGAGAAUGAAAAACAUACUAUUUAUUUUCUUUACUUUGUACCCAUUUCUUACGUUACAUUUUUUCUUACUGAGGUCAGUGCGAACUUGACAAAAUCAUUUAAAAAUGCAGAUUCAUAGCUUGUUAAAUGUAAAAGAGCUUUCAUCUCAUUGUGCUCAUUUUAUAGCCAAAGAAAUAGGAGUUCAGAGAGAAAAUGAUUCCUGUAGUUCAUAGCAGACACAUGUCCUUCAUCCUAAUGAUU